This 370-nucleotide ribosomal RNA is filed under the name Polyplax arvicanthis. RNAcentral describes it as "partial 12S ribosomal RNA". The record is from RNAcentral. Lineage: Eukaryota; Metazoa; Arthropoda; Insecta; Psocodea; Polyplacidae.
UUAUGAUUAAAGUCUUAACCUCAAUUGAAAGUAUGGCGGUUGCUGAUCCAACCAGAGGCACAUGCUGAUAAUCGAAACUGCACGAAUAUCUUACUCUCUCUAAUAGCUUGCUAGUAUCUUGUACAUCGCUGUUUUAGGACUAAAUGUUCAAGUUUAGUCUUUUCCUUAUAAAAUUAUAGUAUAAAAAGAUAUUUGAAGGAAAAUAACAAGUCAAGACGCAGAGAAUGAGGGAGACAAGGUGUGUGUCAGUAUUUAUAUUUGAUUAUUUACAUUUCACUCUUUUCUGAAACUAGAAUUGAGAGGGAAAGAAUUUGGUAGUAAGAACGAUUCAUUAAAUUGUUCUGAAUAGGUAAUUAGCAGUGUACACACC